RNAcentral lists this long non-coding RNA (1028 nucleotides) under Cyanistes caeruleus (blue tit). Its description in RNAcentral is "lncRNA (ENSCCEG00000004574.1)". Lineage: Eukaryota; Metazoa; Chordata; Aves; Passeriformes; Paridae. The record is from RNAcentral.
CAGAAUCCUAUGCCAAUCGAGAAAAACUCAUUAAUCCAGUUAACAAGCAUAACAACAGUUUUUCUUGUGGAAUCAAGUAGGCAGAACUCUGCUACACAUUGCCCAUUAGCCCAAUAUCCUAUGCCUUUUCCUGUUGAGAGCUUAUAAGUCUGCUUGGUAGAAUAUUUUCUUGAAUUAAUGUCAUAAUGAUCUGCUCCCUUCCCAUUAUACAACAGUGAAGAAAAUGGCCUUUGGACUAUUUCACAUGGUGUCUCUGAAUUCUGUGAGCACACACAGUAUUUCCUUAAUGGGUCUUUCAAGAAAAGAAAAAAACAACAAAACACAUCAAAGGCAAGAUACAGAGAGGAGAGGAGAAGAAAUUUGUCUCCUCACAAGUCAGCCACCCAGAUAUUCUGGGCAGCAGAGUAUGGCUGAGGAUGGUGCAUUUGUUGGAAGGGUGAUAUUUUUCAUGCCCUACAGGUACACAGGGGAUGGCUCUCCACUACUAUACAGAAAAGAUUCAUCAGAUUCAUCACUCAGUCGCAGUCCGAGAAGCUUUACUGAAUGGAGAUAUUCCCAGAAAUGAAGCAACCACAAAGUUGUUGACAUCAAUGAACUGACAGUAUGGAGACUAUCAAGAGACUGGUGACAGAAACUUUUGCACAGGCAUGAAAGGAACAUUCUCUUUCAAUCCUAAAGGGAGAUAAUGGGAAACAAUGACAGUGAAAGCUGCUUUAUCUCACCCACCUUCUUUACUGGUAAAUUUUUAAAACAAAAUAUAGAUUGUGCUGGAGGAAGGAUUUUCCAUGUAGGAACAGUUUGUAAUAUAAUUUUAUUUAUUUUAACUAUUAUAUCAAUAGCUUUACAGAAGGGUUAUUCAGUUACAGAGAUUAAUUUAUCAGCAAACAUCUGUUUCGAGGCAUUCACAACUUUCAUUGAACCAAAAGCUUCUUUUCUAUCAAAGUGAAAACUUUCACAGAAAAACAUGGCAAUGAAAAUUUUCAUGUUUUCAUGAAAAUAAAAGUGGCUUGUUUAUAUAAAAUUUGGCA